Molecule: ribosomal RNA, 446 nt
Filed under: uncultured bacterium
Lineage: Bacteria
Description: SSU rRNA
Rfam family: Bacterial small subunit ribosomal RNA
Source: RNAcentral
AGAGCGAACGCUGGCGGCAGGCUUAACACAUGCAAGUCGAACGGAUCCUUCGGGAUUAGUGGCGGACGGGUGAGUAACACGUGGGAACGUGCCUUUAGGUUCGGAACAACACAGGGAAACUUGUGCUAAUACCGGAUGUGCCCUUCGGGGGAAAGAUUUAUCGCCUUUAGAGCGGCCCGCGUCUGAUUAGCUUGUUGGCGAGGUAAAGGCUCACCAAGGCUACGAUCAGUAGCUGGUCUGAGAGGAUGGCCAGCCACAUUGGGACUGAGACACGGCCCAAACUCCUACGGGAGGCAGCAGUGGGGAAUCUUGCGCAAUGGGGGAAACCCUGACGCAGCCAUGCCGCGUGGAUGAUGAAGGUCUUAGGAUUGUAAAAUCCUUUCAGCGGGGACGAUAAUGACGGUACCCGCAGAAGAAGCCCCGGCUAACUUCGUGCCAGCAGCCGC